CCUGACCUUUGGACUUGUUAAAGCAAGUGGCUUGCAGCCUAGGUGCGGGGACUUUUCCACUGGCCAGCAAGACGAAACUGCGCUUCUGGGGCUCAGGUGAAAGCUGGAGAAUAUCGGGGUGCUUUUGAAGAAGACAGAAGAGGAUGCAAAAAGUAGAGAGCUUCUAUGGCAUGCACAGGGCCCAAACCCUCACGAUCCAGGCCUGGCGGUUUGAAUUUGCAGGACUGCGGGCUGGCAUGGCGUGAACAAGGGUGAAGGAGCCACCGACUGAUUUAUGACCCGAAGGAGCAGACAAAGUGGAGGUUCCGCUAGCAGCUUGAUGAGCUGGUCACCUGGGUGGCGAUCUCCUGUUUAGACCCGGAAUAUCAAGGCGCCUCUACUUUGGCAACAAAACUAGGAUUGUGUGGACUCAGGAGUGAAAGCAAAGCAUAACCCGGUGGCUGAGUGAACGCUGGAGCUGUGCGUCCAUGGCCCACUCACUUCUGGUUUGUUCGCAGUUCCAGGACUCCCGCGGCGCGUUCUGCAAAGACAAGGUCACUGCUUUAGUGGCGGGGAGUCUCGCAUGCCAAGCGGAGAAGGCACCCACAAAGCCGCAGAAGGAAAAACGUUUUCCCCACCUGGAUCUGGAGAGGAAGGAAGCCCCGGGAGCUUCAGCUCUGCGGGAGUUUCUAUCGCAACUCCCCUGGGGCCCCCGAAGGGCGGAAGGAGGCACCCAACUCGUCCAAGCCUACAGGCUGGGACCUGACUUGCAGAACUGAGGAAGGGGCUCCUUAGGAUCCACCGCCAACAGGCUCCUGGGGCAGAGGACACUUGCCUUUGAUUCCCAGUUUCCAUCCGUGAAAAAGGCUACAGAUAGGGCAGUGCAGCAGAGUUGUAUACACUGAAUAAGACCACCUGUGCAAACCCUCGGUCUAAAAAUAGUGUGCACACUUUCCGGUUUGGGAAGGCAGGAGGUCACCCAGUCAAAGCCAGGAGGCCAGUGAAAUCUAGGACUACUGGAAGCUUGGAGUUUUCGGAAUCAGGGAGAACUAAUGCUUGGAUGGGAAGGACUAGGCAAGUAGGGACAAAAAUUGAGAAUCCGCAGGAAAAUUGAAAGAUAAUGAGGAGAAAGUUGAGUUUAAACUAGGGAUCAAGAGGAAUUUUAGCACGUAGGAGGAAGGGUACACCUACUCUCAAAAAGGUAUAGGAUCAAAUGUCCUUAGUGUAUGAGGCUGACGAUGUGAUUGAUCCUAUUCAGGCUGUUAAGGAAUGAGGAUGCCUCUUUUAAAUACAGAGUUGACAAUAGGUGCCACCUGUCCUAGGAGCCAGAAGAUAGGACGUAGCUGUGUGUGUAGAUCCCUGAGGAAGGUUUACACCUAUCUCAGUCCCUCUUCCCUGUAAUAGGUCCAUAGAAAUAAAGGCCCUUCUUCCCA
Molecule: long non-coding RNA, 1412 nt
Organism: Cavia porcellus (domestic guinea pig)
Lineage: Eukaryota; Metazoa; Chordata; Mammalia; Rodentia; Caviidae
Exons: 2
Source: RefSeq, a predicted model, not a curated record